This is an RNA transcript of Vespula vulgaris, 8387 nucleotides long. It is a transcript of the gene named acetyl-CoA carboxylase, with no coding region annotated. The transcript is spliced from 14 exons. The record is from RefSeq and is a predicted model, not a curated record. NCBI's taxonomy places the organism in Eukaryota, Metazoa, Arthropoda, Insecta, Hymenoptera, Vespidae.
UAAGGUAGACGUGAAAUCAUUAGUAGUCGAGUUAGAACAAGAUAAAGUGAUAGAACAUAGGUAACUAAACGAAGAGAAAUAUAGAAAUCGAGAAAGGUGAGGUUUAAUGGACAGUGACGUUGGUAUACCAACUAACGCCGCGUAAGGUGAUACAGUGUGUACGAAAUUAGUGUGAUAAUAAGUACAAAAAGAAAGAUAAAUGUACGGAAGGUGACAAAAACAUUUUAUUGCCUUAACGAUCAACGUCGAUCUAUGAUUGAUCAACGUUGACCAACGAGGCUUCUCUAACGCGUUUCGGAUCAUAACGCUUUGCGUUUUAACAUUUACACAUUUUUUGUCGUUGUGAUAAUUGUCGAAAGAAAGGCUACACGAAUGACAGAACACGCACGAGACGACGAACCUAACCUCAGGGAGGAGCGUGCUACUCCACCGCGUAGGAUUCGUCACCGGUGGUUUCAGGAAAUUCUGUACGAGCACGAAGAGGAACCCCCUUGGUGGUGGUGGUUGUGGUGGUGGCGACAGUGGUGGGGUUGGUGGUCCUCCCUUUUAACAAAGGCGAGGAAUCGUCUCGGUCGUAGACCUCUUCACGGUAACGAGAAGGAAAAACCAGAGGAGUCACAACCAAGGAUCUCCUCCUCUUCCUCUACGAGCGAAGAAGAGAUCGUUCAUAUCGUUGAACCUUCUUCUGGUGAUAAUAGGGAAGACAACUUCGAGAUGUCCGAAACGACGCCGGUUAGCUUCGUCGUCGGGGAACCCGACCCAGACGCCGAAGAGGAGUUGGAGAUUGGCGAUAGUUUUCCCAUUGAUGGAAACGAUGGGAACAGCCUUCAAGGUCAACAAUUCUCCAUCCCUCCAGGCUUGGUUGAACGACGUAAACGACUCAGACCCAGCAUGUCGCAGGGUACGGUGAUGAUUCAGACACAAAAUCGAUUGCAAGAGAAAGACUUCACCGUUGCGACACCCGAAGAAUUCGUACAUCGUUUUGGUGGCACCAAGGUUAUCAACAAGGUUUUAAUAGCUAACAAUGGAAUCGCUGCAGUCAAAUGUAUGCGGUCGAUACGACGAUGGUCUUACGAGAUGUUUAAGAACGAAAGAGCGGUACGUUUCGUGGUCAUGGUCACGCCGGAAGAUCUCAAAGCUAACGCGGAAUAUAUCAAAAUGGCUGAUCAAUAUGUUCCCGUACCUGGUGGAACAAACAAUAACAAUUAUGCGAACGUCGAGCUCAUCGUGGAUAUCGCAACGAGGACGCAGGUGCAGGCUGUUUGGGCUGGAUGGGGUCACGCAUCAGAAAAUCCUAAAUUACCAGAGUUACUGCAUAAGAAUAAUAUCUCUUUUAUAGGUCCAUCCGAGAGAGCUAUGUGGGCUUUAGGUGAUAAGAUAGCUUCGAGUAUUGUCGCUCAAACAGCAGAUGUUCCUACGUUACCUUGGUCGGGAUCUGAAUUGAAAGCUCAAUAUAGUGGCAAGAAGAUAAAGAUAUCGACCGAAUUGUUCAAGAAAGGUUGUGUUUCCACCGUCGAGGAAUGUCUUGCCGCGGCUAAUAAAAUUGGUUUUCCGAUUAUGGUGAAAGCUAGCGAAGGUGGCGGCGGUAAGGGUAUUAGAAAAUGCGAAAACGCGGAAGAGUUGCCCGCCUUGUUUAGACAAGUGCAAGGCGAGAUACCGGGUUCACCGAUAUUUAUCAUGAAAAUGGCGAAAUGUGCUCGCCAUUUAGAGGUUCAAUUAUUAGCCGAUAAUUACGGUAAUGCAAUAUCGUUGUUCGGCCGUGAUUGCUCUAUCCAAAGAAGACAUCAGAAAAUAAUAGAAGAGGCACCAGCGGUAAUAGCCAAGCCUGAAGUCUUCGAAGAGAUGGAGAAAGCUGCUGUGAGAUUAGCAAAAAUGGUCGGAUAUGUCAGUGCGGGUACCGUUGAAUAUUUAUACGACACUUCUGGCCGUUAUUAUUUUUUGGAAUUGAAUCCUAGACUUCAAGUGGAACAUCCGUGUACCGAGAUGGUAUCGGACGUUAAUCUGCCCGCUGCACAACUUCAAGUGGCGAUGGGAUUGCCUCUUCAUCAUAUCAAAGAUAUACGUCUCCUUUAUGGCGAGAGUCCUUGGGGAGACAGUCAAAUAGAUUUCGAUCAGUUACGUCAUAAACCACAACCUUGGGGACAUGUGAUAGCUGCUAGAAUUACCAGUGAAAAUCCUGACGAAGGUUUCAAACCGAGUUCUGGUACCGUACAAGAAUUGAACUUUAGAUCGUCGAAGAACGUUUGGGGUUAUUUUUCUGUCGGAGCAUCGGGUGGUCUUCACGAGUUCGCAGAUUCUCAAUUCGGCCAUUGUUUUUCCUGGGGGGAAGAUCGUUAUCAAGCUCGAGAGAAUUUGGUGAUAGCGUUGAAAGAAUUAAGCAUCAGAGGUGACUUCAGGACAACGGUAGAAUAUCUUAUAACUUUGUUGGAAACUGAAGCCUUCCAACAAAACAAUAUCGACACGUCGUGGCUCGACGUGCUUAUAGCGGAGCGUGUUAGAAGCGAUAAGCCAAACGUUUUAUUAGCCGUCACGUGUGGUGCCAUUCAUAUUGCUGAUAGAACUAUCACUGCUGCAUUCACUGAAUUUCAGACGGCCUUGGAGAAGGGUCAAGUACAAGGCAGUAAUGAUUUAAAUAACCUCGUAGAUGUAGAACUAGUGAACGAUGGUUACAAGUACAAAGUUCAAGCAGCUAAGUCAGGUCCUAAUAGUUAUUUCCUCGUUUUAAAUAGUUCCUAUAAAGAAAUCGAAGUUCAUCGACUUUCUGAUGGUGGUUUGUUACUCUCGAUGGAUGGUGCCAGUUAUACGACAUACAUGAAGGAAGAAGUAGAUCGUUAUAGAAUUACUAUAGGUAAUCAAACCUGUGUAUUUGAAAAGGAUAACGACCCGUCUUUACUUAGAUCACCAUCAGCGGGUAAAUUGAUAAAUUUCUUGGUGGAGGAUAGUGGUCACGUCGAUAAGGGACAAGCUUACGCUGAAAUCGAAGUUAUGAAAAUGAUAAUGACGGUAACGACCAGCGAAGCUGGUACAUUGUUCUACGUGAAAAGACCAGGUGCUAUUCUCGAAGCUGGCACUGUUAUAGCUCAUUUAGAACUGGAUGAUCCAUCUUUGGUGACGAAUGCUGAGGAAUAUAGUGGCCAAUUUCCAACGCCAGCGGUACCAGCUAUACCAGACAAAUUGAAUCAUCUUCAUUCCAAAUAUCGGACUGCUUUAGAAAAUACACUAGCUGGUUACUGUUUACCAGAUCCGUAUCAUUUACCACGUUUACGUGAACUCAUCGAAAAGUUCAUGUUCUCCUUACGCGAUCCUAGUUUACCGUUGCUCGAACUUCAAGAAGUAAUAGCUACGAUAUCAGGAAGAAUCCCAGCUUCAGUCGAGAAGAAGAUCAGAAAAUUGAUGUCCUUGUACGAGAGAAACAUAACUUCUGUUCUUGCACAAUUCCCCAGUCAACAGAUCGCAGCUGUCAUUGACGGACACGCUGCUACGCUUUCGAAACGUUCCGAUAGAGAUGUAUUCUUCUUGACUACUCAAGCGAUCGUACAGCUCGUGCAGAGAUAUCGGAAUGGUAUACGUGGUCGAAUGAAAACUGCCGUGCACGAACUCCUUCGUCAAUAUUAUAUGGUCGAGUGUCAAUUUCAACAAGGACAUUACGACAAAUGUGUGUCCGCUCUGAUAGAACAAUACAAGGACGAUUUAAGUACCGUAACUGCCAUGAUUUUUAGUCACAACCAAGUAACUAAAAAGAAUAUAUUAGUGACUAUGCUGAUAGAUCAUCUCUGGGCGAACGAACCUGGCCUCACCGACGAAUUAGCUAGUACUUUAACGGAAUUGACCAGUUUGAACAGAACGGAGCACAGUCGUGUUGCGUUAAGAGCCAGACAGGUAUUGAUAGCUGCUCAUCAACCUGCCUACGAACUCAGACACAAUCAAAUGGAAUCCAUUUUCUUAUCAGCCGUUGAUAUGUACGGGCACGACUUUCAUCCAGAAAAUCUUCAAAAGCUGAUACUCUCCGAGACGUCUAUAUUCGAUAUCCUUCAUGAUUUCUUCUAUCAUUCGAAUCGUGCAGUUUGCAAUGCCGCCUUGGAAGUUUAUGUUCGCAGAGCCUACAUCAGUUACGAGUUAACGUGUUUACAACACUUGGAAUUGUCAGGAGAAAUACCUCUCGUACAUUUCCAAUUCUUGCUCCCUAACAAUCAUCCUAAUCGACAAACCCAAUCGAUUGUUAAUUACAGAACAGGAGCGAUGGCAGCAUUCAAAGACUUCGAUCAAUUUCGCGAAUACUCUGACGAGAUCUUGGACUUGUUGGAAGAUUUGUCGUCGCCGAGUUCAGUAUCUGUUAAAGUCCUAGAGGCCGUAGACGCGAUUGGUAGCGAAUCACGUCACAGUACGUCCAUAAACGUAUCGCUCAGCACUGCGGCGGAAGCUGCAACUGCCGCAGAAUUAGGUGAGAGGCCAGCUGAACCUGUACACAUUUUAAGCAUUGCCAUUCAAGAGAACGGUAAUCAAGACGACGCUACUAUGGCAAGAUUAUUUGGUGACUGGUGUGCAACGAGCAAGGAAGAAUUAAUAUCUCGUGGUAUCAGAAGAGUCACUUUCGCAGCCCUAAAGAAGAAACAGUUUCCAAAAUUCUUUACGUUCAGACAAAGGGACGGAUUCGUCGAGGAUAGAAUUUAUCGACAUCUCGAGCCAGGGUGUGCUUUUCAAUUGGAACUUAAUAGAAUGAGAACAUACGAUCUGGAGGCCUUGCCUACGUCGAAUCAAAAGAUGCACCUGUACCUUGGACAGGCAAAAGUAGCGAAAGGGCAACAAGUUACAGACUAUCGUUUCUUCAUACGCUCUAUUAUUCGUCAUUCCGAUCUUAUAACGAAGGAAGCAAGUUUCGAUUAUCUUCACAACGAAGGAGAGCGCGUGCUGCUCGAAGCUAUGGAUGAGUUGGAAGUGGCCUUUUCGCAUCCUCUAGCUAAACGGACCGAAUGUAAUCAUAUCUUUUUAAAUUUCGUUCCUACGGUGAUAAUGGAUCCUGCCAGAAUAGAGGAAAGUGUUACCAGUAUGGUACUUAGAUAUGGUCCGAGAUUAUGGAAGUUACGUGUUCGCCAGGCCGAAAUCAAAAUGACAAUCCGUCCAGCUCCGGGCAAAUCGACGUCGAAUAUACGCUUGUGUAUCGCCAAUGACAGCGGUUACAGUAUAGAUUUACAUCUUUACGCUGAAUCGACGGAUCCUAAGACAGGUAUCAUUCGUUUUGAAUCUUAUCCACCGCCUGCUGCUAACUUAUCCAAUUGGAGACCUGGCCCUAUGCACGGUUUGCCAAUUUCAACACCGUAUCUCACCAAGGAUUAUCUUCAAGCCAAGAGAUUCCAAGCGCAAAGUGCUGGUACCACUUACGCGUACGACUUGCCUGACAUAUUUCGUCAGCAAGUAGAAAAGUCUUGGCACAAAUAUAUCGAGGAGAGACCAAAUUCGAACAUCACGAUUCCCACGUCUGUGAUGGAUUGCGUUGAGCUAGUACUGGACGGUGACAAUCUCGUUGAACAAAAGCGUUUGCCUGGUGAGAACGACGUAGGCAUGGUAGCUUGGAGAUUAACUCUUUACACGCCUGAGUUCCCGACUGGUCGUGAUAUUAUACUUAUCUCCAACGACCUCACGCAUUUUCUCGGCUCGUUUGGCCCAAUGGAGGACUUCCUAUUUUACAGAGCAUCCGAGAGAGCGAGACAACUUGGUAUUCCGCGUAUUUAUUUCGCCGCGAACGCAGGUGCACGUAUUGGUCUGGCCGAAGAGAUCAAAGGAUUGUUCAAAAUAGCUUGGGAGGAUGAAAGUGAACCUGAAAAGGGAUUCAAGUAUAUAUACUUGACACCAGAUGAUUAUGCUCGUUUAGCACCUUUUAAUUCAGUCAAGGCUUCCUUGAUUGAGGAUCCAGCCGGUGAAUCUCGUUAUAAGAUUACGGACAUCAUUGGCAAAGACGAUGGUAUAGGCGUAGAGAAUUUAAAAUACGCCGGUAUGAUUGCUAGCGAAACGUCCAGAGCUUACGACGAAAUCGUCACCAUCUCUAUCGUUUCGUGCCGCGCUAUUGGUAUCGGUUCUUAUUUGGUGCGUCUUGGUCAGAGAACAAUUCAAAUUGAAAAUUCUCACAUCAUUCUUACUGGUUACCGAGCAUUGAACGCCGUCUUAGGACGCGAAGUGUACGCUAGUAACAAUCAACUAGGGGGUAUUCAAAUUAUGCAUAAUAACGGUGUUACUCAUGCGGUCGAUAGUAGGGAUUUGGAAGGCGUGGCCACAGUUCUGAAAUGGUUGAGUUAUUUCCCCAGGGCAAGGGGUACAAGUUUGCCGAUAUUACCUUCACCUCUCCCCGAUUCUAUCAACCGAGACAUUACUUAUGUACCUACGAAAGCACCUUAUGAUCCAAGGUGGAUGUUAGAAGGUAGAUACUCGCCUAACGAUCAGAAUGUCUGGGAAAGUGGUUUCUUCGAUCGUGGAUCGUGGCAGGAAAUCAUGAAACCUUGGGCACAAACUGUGAUAACAGGUCGAGCAAGAUUAGGUGGUAUACCUUGUGGUGUUAUUGCCGUUGAAACAAGAACCGUCGAACUACAUCUUCCUGCUGAUCCUGCUAAUCUCGAUUCGGAAGCUAAGACAAUAUCACAGGCUGGUCAAGUAUGGUUCCCAGAUAGUGCCUACAAAACUGCACAAGCUAUUCGAGAUUUUAAUAGGGAAGAACUGCCGCUUGUUAUAUUUGCUAACUGGAGAGGAUUUUCCAGUGGCAUGAAAGACAUGUACGAUCAAAUUGUGAAAUUCGGUGCCUAUAUCGUCGACGCGCUAAGAGAAUACACGAAACCUAUAUUUGUAUACAUUCCACCAAACGGUGAACUCAGAGGUGGUGCAUGGGCCGUAGUGGACACUACGAUUAAUCCACGAUACUUAGAAAUGUUUGCUGAUACCACCAGUAGGGGUGGUGUCCUGGAGCCGACUGGUAUCGUAGAAAUAAAAUUUAGAAACAAGGAUAUCGUCAAGACUAUGCAUAGAAUAGAUCCUGUUAUUCAAAAGUUAAAAGAAAAUCUUAAUGCAUCAAAUUCAAUCGAGGAAAAAACGGAAAUCGAAACAGUAAUUCGUAAGAGAGAGAAAACAUUGAUACCGAUAUAUCAACAAGUUGCUGUCUACUUUGCGGAUCUUCACGACACUCCAGAACGAAUGUUAGAGAAAAACGUAAUACAGGAUAUAAUACCAUGGCAAAAGGCAAGGCCGUUGCUUUAUUGGAAAUUAAGACGGAGACUUUUGGAAGAGGAUAUCAAGAAGGAUAUUUUGUCAAUGCAACCUAAGCUCGACGUUAGACAAAUCGGUGCGAUGCUACGACGAUGGUUUAUCGAAGAUAAAGGAGCUACAGAAUCGUACCUUUGGGAUCAGGAUCAAGCGGCUACCACUUGGUUGGAGGCACAGCUUGUUAAUGAAAAUAGCGUUAUAUCACGUAAUAUUAUGUGUGUAAAGAAGGAUGCAGUUAUCACACGUAUCAAAGAAGCUCUCGAAACUUGUCCAGAAGUAAGAUUAGAUGCUGUCCUGGAAAUCGCUCAUAGAUUAAAUCCUGCCGAACGCGCCGAGUUACAAAGGACUUUAUCGCAAAUGGAAGCACCAGAUCAGGAACAUCACAUCGAUUCGAGUUCUUCAUCCUAAUUCGUGAAAAUGUUGUGCAUCUGCGUACCUGGUGUAUGUAGUUUUAUUAGAAGUAAUUAUUUGUACAGACAUUCACGCGAUAUUCUUACUUGUUGAUAGCAAUCAUACAGAAAACUGGGAUUUGACUUCGAUGUACGUCAACAAGAUCAUCAUCUAAGGUAAGUAAAAUCAUAAACGAGAAGAACAUCGCAAAUGCAGACAAGAAGUGCCAAAUAUCGUGUGAAUCGAAAAAGUUUAAUAAUAUGCAAGGCUUAUUAAAAAGACGUGAUUGAGCGGGAGUAAGAUUCCAGGAUAUCGUCUUAUGUAUGAAGAAAUAUAAUGCAGCUGCCCAGAAUAAGACUGCUAAUAUGAUGUACAUUAAUGGUUUAAGUAAGAUUUUUUCUUUAUGGCACAACUGUAAAGAAACAAUUAUUAUGUUACAACAAUUAAGUAAUCACAAAAAAUAUGGAUUAAUGAUCUAAAAAAUUAUUUUCAAUAAUUACCUUCAUUAUUAUAUAAAACAAUGUAUAUAAAAUUAAAUUGGACAUUAAGAUCGCUAAUAAAAAUGUAGCGAAAUUUUUCUCAUGAUAUAGAUUACCAUAUACCGAUAAACCAAUAUUACACAAAUUUGCUACAACAAGCAUUGCAAAUCUUCCAGCGUAAAGUGGCCGGAAUAAAUAUGUUACUCCACAACGUGCGUCGUGUUUUAAUGUCUACAAAACAAAAUACACAAUGAAACAUUUAAAAUGUCAUAA